GAUGAACGCUAGCGGCAGGCCUAACACAUGCAAGUCGAGGGAGAAGCCUUUCGGGGCCGAAACCGGCGCACGGGUGCGUAACGCGUAUGCAACCUACCUUUCACAGGGGGAUAGCCCGAAGAAAUUUGGAUUAAUACCCCAUAAUAUUGUUGGAUGGCAUCAUCUGAUAAUUAAAACUGCGGUGGUGAAAGAUGGGCAUGCGUCCUAUUAGCUAGUUGGAGUGGUAACGGCACCCCAAGGCUACGAUAGGUAGGGGUCCUGAGAGGGAGAUCCCCCACACUGGUACUGAGACAGGGACCAGACUCCUACGGGAGGCAGCAGUGAGGAAUAUUGGUCAAUGGUCGGAAGACUGAACCAGCCAUGCCGCGUGCAGGAAGAAUGCCUUAUGGGUUGUAAACUGCUUUUAUAUGGGAAGAAUAAGGUGUACGUGUACAUUGAUGACGGUACCAUAUGAAUAAGCAUCGGCUAACUCCGUG
RNAcentral lists this ribosomal RNA (476 nucleotides) under uncultured bacterium. RNAcentral's name for it is "partial 16S ribosomal RNA". It matches the Rfam family "Bacterial small subunit ribosomal RNA", at positions 28 to 507 of the family's 1533-position model. The record is from RNAcentral.